This 421-nucleotide long non-coding RNA is filed under the name Drosophila melanogaster (fruit fly). Its description in RNAcentral is "antisense RNA:CR43876 (Dmel_CR43876)". Lineage: Eukaryota; Metazoa; Arthropoda; Insecta; Diptera; Drosophilidae. The record is from RNAcentral.
AUCAUUGUAAAUGCUGUCGUCUUUAAAAUCGGAUUUAAAUUUGGGGUCGGUACUUUUUCGUUUGAUUCUGGAACUCUGCUGAAUGCAAGGUUGAUCUUGGCUGGCUUGAAGAAUUUGAUAGAAGGUGGCAGUUCCGGCUAAAGGAACUUCCGGUGGCGAUGUGAAUGCUUUUCCAAUCGGGACAUUCCGUUUCCGUUGGCAAGUCGGCCAAGCAAGCGUACUUUGAUCAAAUUUUUGAAUACUGUACAAAACAUUCGAAAUCGAGUUGGCAAUUUGGAUUUUAAAAUACUCGGGAACUGAAAUUUUGAUUCAGUUUUAUUACGACAUUGAACACAAAAUAAAUUUCAAUUGCCUUUAAAGAACAAGGAAGGACUUGAAAUGAGAAUCUUUAAGUGCUAGUAUGUUGGAUAAUAAAUUAACU